RNAcentral lists this ribosomal RNA (484 nucleotides) under uncultured bacterium. RNAcentral describes it as "partial 16S ribosomal RNA". It matches the Rfam family "Bacterial small subunit ribosomal RNA", at positions 30 to 507 of the family's 1533-position model. The record is from RNAcentral.
AUUGAACGCUGGCGGCAGGCCUAACACUUGCCAGUCGAGCGGAUGAAGGGAGCUUGCUCCUGGAUUCAGCGGCGGACGGGUGAGUAAUGCCUAGGAAUCUGCCUGGUAGUGGGGGAUAACGUCCGGAAACGGGCGCUAAUACCGCAUACGUCCUGAGGGAGAAAGUGGGGGAUCUUCGGACCUCACGCUAUCAGAUGAGCCUAGGUCGGAUUAGCUAGUUGGUGGGGUAAAGGCCUACCAAGGCGACGAUCCGUAACUGGUCUGAGAGGAUGAUCAGUCACACUGGAACUGAGACACGGUCCAGACUCCUACGGGAGGCAGCAGUGGGGAAUAUUGGACAAUGGGCGAAAGCCUGAUCCAGCCAUGCCGCGUGUGUGAAGAAGGUCUUCGGAUUGUAAAGCACUUUAAGUUGGGAGGAAGGGCAGUAAGUUAAUACCUUGCUGUUUUGACGUUACCAACAGAAUAAGCACCGGCUAACUUCGUG